This 491-nucleotide ribosomal RNA is filed under the name uncultured bacterium. Its description in RNAcentral is "partial 16S ribosomal RNA". It matches the Rfam family "Bacterial small subunit ribosomal RNA", at positions 29 to 506 of the family's 1533-position model. The record is from RNAcentral.
AGUGAACGCUGGCGGUAGGCCUAACACAUGCAAGUCGAACGGCAGCACAGUAAGAGCUUGCUCUUACGGGUGGCGAGUGGCGGACGGGUGAGGAAUACAUCGGAAUCUACUUUUUCGUGGGGGAUAACGUAGGGAAACUUACGCUAAUACCGCAUACGACCUACGGGUGAAAGCAGGGGAUCUUCGGACCUUGCGCGAUUGAAUGAGCCGAUGUCGGAUUAGCUAGUUGGCGGGGUAAAGGCCCACCAAGGCGACGAUCCGUAGCUGGUCUGAGAGGAUGAUCAGCAACACUGGAACUGAGACACGGUCCAGAACCCUACGGGAGGCAGCAGUGGGAAAUAUUGGACAAGGGGCGCAAGCCUGAUCCAGCCAUACCGCGUGGGUGAAGAAGGCCUUCGGGUUGUAAAGCCCUUUUGUUGGGAAAGAAAAGCAGCAGGUUAAGACCCCGCUGUUCUGACGGUACCCAAAGAAUAGGCACCGGCAAACUUCGU